GGAUAACCUGCCCUUGGGUCCGGCAUAACCCCGGGAAACUGGGGAUAAUACCGGAUAACGCACAUAUGCUGGAAUGCUUUAUGCGUAAAAUGGAUUCGUCUGCCCAAGGAUGGGUCUGCGGCCUAUCAGGUAGUAGUGGGUGUAAUGUACCUACUAGCCAACAACGGGUACGGGUUGUGAGAGCAAGAGCCCGGAGAUGGAUUCUGAGACAUGAAUCCAGGCCCUACGGGGCGCAGCAGGCGCGAAAACUUUACAAUGCGGGAAACCGUGAUAAGGGGACACCGAGUGCCAGCAUCAUAUGCUGGCUGUCCAGGUGUGUAAAAUACACCUGUCAGCAAGGGCCGGGCAAGACCGGUGCCAGCCGCCGCGGUAACACCGGCGGCCCGAGUGGUGAUCGUGAUUAUUGGGUCUAAAGGGUCCGUAGCCGGUUUGGUCAGUCCUCCGGGAAAUCUGACGGCUUAACCGUUAGGCUUUCGGGGGAUACUGCCAGGCUUGGAACCGGGAGAGGUAAGAGGUACUACAGGGGUAGGAGUGAAAUCUUGUAAUCCCUGUGGGACCACCUGUGGCGAAGGCGUCUUACCAGAACGGGUUCGACGGUGAGGGACGAAAGCUGGGGGCACGAACCGGAUUAGAUACCCGGGUAGUCCCANCCGUAAACGAUGCUCGCUAGGUGUCAGGCAUGGCGCGACCGUGUCUGGUGCCGCAGGGAAACCGUGAANCGAGCCACCUGGGGAAGUACCGGCCGCAAGGCUGAAACUUAA
Molecule: ribosomal RNA, 761 nt
Filed under: uncultured archaeon
Lineage: Archaea
Description: bacterial SSU rRNA
Rfam family: Archaeal small subunit ribosomal RNA
Source: RNAcentral